This 253-nucleotide ribosomal RNA is filed under the name uncultured bacterium. Its description in RNAcentral is "partial 16S ribosomal RNA". It matches the Rfam family "Bacterial small subunit ribosomal RNA", at positions 524 to 776 of the family's 1533-position model. The record is from RNAcentral.
CACGUAGGGUGCGAGCGUUGUCCGGAAUUAUUGGGCGUAAAGAGCUCGUAGGCGGCUCGUCGCGUCAGCUGUGAAAACCCGCGGCUUAACCGUGGGCUUGCAGCUGAUACGGGCGGGCUAGAGUUCGGUAGGGGAGACUGGAAUUCCUGGUGUAGCGGUGAAAUGCGCAGAUAUCAGGAGGAACACCGGUGGCGAAGGCGGGUCUCUGGGCCGAUACUGACGCUGAGGAGCGAAAGCGUGGGGAGCGAACAGG